CAAUAAGCGGAGGAAAAGAAACCAACAGGGAUUGCCCUAGUAACGGCGAGUGAAGCGGCAACAGCUCAAAUUUGAAAUCUGGCGUCUUUGGCGUCCGAGUUGUAAUUUGCAGAGGGCGCUUUGGCAUUGGCAGCGGUCCAAGUUCCUUGGAACAGGACGUCACAGAGGGUGAGAAUCCCGUACGUGGUCGCUAGCCUUUACCGUGUAAAGCCCCUUCGACGAGUCGAGUUGUUUGGGAAUGCAGCUCUAAAUGGGAGGUAAAUUUCUUCUAAAGCUAAAUACUGGCCAGAGACCGAUAGCGCACAAGUAGAGUGAUCGAAAGAUGAAAAGCACUUUGGAAAGAGAGUUAAAAAGCACGUGAAAUUGUUGAAAGGGAAGCGCUUGCAGCCAGACUUGCCUGUAGUUGCUCAUCCGGGUUUUUACCCGGUGCACUCUUCUAUAGGCAGGCCAGCAUCAGUUUGGGCGGUUGGAUAAAGGUCUCUGUCAUGUACCUCUCUUCGGGGAGAACUUAUAGGGGAGACGACAUGCAACCAGCCUGGACUGAGGUCCGCGCAUCUGCUAGGAUGCUGGCGUAAUGGCUGUAAGCGGCCCGUCUUGAAACACGGACCAAGGAGUCUAACAUCUAUGCGAGUGUUUGGGUGUCAAGCCCGAGCGCGUAAUGAAAGUGAACGGAGGUGGGAACCUUUCGGGGUGCACCAUCGACCGAUCCUGAUGUCUUCGGAUGGAUUUGAGUAAGAGCAUAGCUGUUGGGACCCGAAAGAUGGUGAACUAUGCUUGAAUAGGGUGAAGCCAGAGGAAACUCUGGUGGAGGCUCGCAGCGGUUCUGACGUGCAAAUCGAUCGUCAAAUUUGGGCAUAGGGGCGAAAGACUAAUCGAACUAUCUAGUAGCUGGUUCUGC
This 898-nucleotide ribosomal RNA is filed under the name Phomatodes nebulosa. Its description in RNAcentral is "partial large subunit ribosomal RNA". It matches the Rfam family "Eukaryotic large subunit ribosomal RNA", at positions 44 to 960 of the family's 3401-position model. The record is from RNAcentral. Lineage: Eukaryota; Fungi; Ascomycota; Dothideomycetes; Pleosporales; Didymellaceae.